Eriocheir sinensis (Chinese mitten crab) is the source of this 1298-nucleotide long non-coding RNA. RefSeq lists it as uncharacterized. NCBI's taxonomy places the organism in Eukaryota, Metazoa, Arthropoda, Malacostraca, Decapoda, Varunidae. The record is from RefSeq and is a predicted model, not a curated record. The transcript is spliced from 3 exons.
UAGCGGAGAGGCGUUGGCGGUGCUGGUGAUGAACGUUCGGCUGGUUUUACAAGACACUUUGCCAUAACACAUCAGCUAUUUCUAAAGGUCAAAGAGGGGACCAGUCGGGUUCUAAAGCGUGUUUCUUUAGGUUCAUGGUACAGAAGAAGGGUCAGACUACCACCAGGGUCAUAAAACUACCCCUGGAAAUGCCCACAACUCCUACGAAAGCCUUGUCAAAUAUGUGUUCUUGGGCGGCGAAAUGUCUCAUAAUACGGGUUUUAAUGAGUGUUUCUUCAGGUUCAUGGUACAGAAGAAGGGUCAGACUACCACCAGGGUCAUAAAACUACCCCUGGAAAUGCCCACAACUCCUACGAAAGCCUUGUCAAAUAUGUGUUCUUGGGCGGCGAAAUGUCUCAUAAUACAGGUUUUAAUGAGUGUUUCUUCAGGUUCAUGGUACAGAAGAAGGGUCAGACUACCACCAGGGUCAUAAAACUACCCCUGGAAAGGCCCACAACUCCUACGAAAGCCUUGUCAAAUAUGUGUUCUUGGGCGGCGAAAUGUCUCAGAAUACGGGUUUAAUGAGUGUUUCUUCAGGUUCACGGUACAGAAGAAGGGUCAGACUACCACCAGGGUCAUAAAACUACCCCUGGAAAUGCCCACAACUCCUACGAAAGCCUUGUCAAAUAUGUGUUCUUGGGCGGCGAAAUGUCUCAUAAUACAGGUUUUAAUGAGUGUUUCUUCAGGUUCACGGUACAGAAGAAGGGUCAGACUACCACCAGGGUCAUAAAACUACCCCUGGAAAUGCCCACAACUCCUACGAAAGCCUUGUCAAAUAUGUGUUCUUGGGCGGCGAAAUGUCUCAUAAUACAGGUUUUAAUGCGUGUUUCUUCAGGUUCAUGGUACAGAAGAAGGGUCAGACUACCACCAGGGUCAUAAAACUACCCCUGGAAAGGCCCACAACUCCUACGAAAGCCUUGUCAAAUAUGUGUUCUUGGGCGGCGAAAUGUCUCAGAAUACGGGUUUAAUGAGUGUUUCUUCAGGUUCACGGUACAGAAGAAGGGUCAGACUACCACCAGGGUCAUAAAACUACCCCUGGAAAUGCCCACAACUCCUACGAAAGCCUUGUCAAAUAUGUGUUCUUGGGCGGCGAAAUGUCUCAUAAUACGGGUUUAAUGAGUGUUUCUUCAGGUUCACGGUACAGAAGAAGGGUCAGACUACCACCAGGGUCAUAAAACUACCCCUGGAAAUGCCCACAACUCCUACGAAAGCCUUGUCAAAUAUGUGUUCUUGGGCGGCGAAAUGUCUCAGAAUACGUG